UAGUAUCGCCAAGCGAAGAAAGCUAUCGAUCUAUAGAUCGAAAAGGACAAGAGUAAUAUAAUACAAGAAAACAAAAAAUAAAAGAAACGGGGUGGCGACCGGUGGCGAUUGCUCACCAGCCACCGGAACAGUUUACUCUUGUUUGUACUCUAGAGAGAAGACAUAGCGUUUAGAGAGAAACAAGAAUAAUUAUUGUAUUUUGUUUUAAAAUAAUAAUCAUUAGUAUUUUGAUAAAUUUUAAUUGUAAAAUCUAAAUAUUUAUUGCUAUUUUGUUGUAUUAUUUUAAAGUAAUGUAUUAAUUAAUUUUUGAAAAAAAUACAGCAAAACCAAAAACUAAAAUUAAAAUCUAAAAACCAAAAACUAAAAGCUGAAAACCAAAAACCAAAAUCUAAAAACAAAAAACUAAAAUCUAAAAACCAAAAACUAAAACUAAAAACUACUAAAACAAUCACCACCUUGGUUUCCACUUGACAUGUCAUCGUUGUCUAAAUUAUC
RNAcentral lists this long non-coding RNA (495 nucleotides) under Brassica rapa (field mustard). RNAcentral's name for it is "long non-coding RNA (BRAP_LNC007802)". Lineage: Eukaryota; Viridiplantae; Streptophyta; Magnoliopsida; Brassicales; Brassicaceae. The record is from RNAcentral.